RNAcentral lists this ribosomal RNA (253 nucleotides) under uncultured bacterium. Its description in RNAcentral is "partial 16S ribosomal RNA". It matches the Rfam family "Bacterial small subunit ribosomal RNA", at positions 524 to 776 of the family's 1533-position model. The record is from RNAcentral.
UACGUAGGCAGCAAGCGUUGUUCGGAGUUACUGGGCGUAAAGAGUGCGUAGGCGGUCCUGUAAGUUUGGUGUGAAAUCUCCCGGCUCAACUGGGAGGGUGCGCCGAAGACUGCAGGGCUUGAGUAUGGGAGAGGUAAGCGGAAUUCCUGGUGUAGCGGUGAAAUGCGUAGAUAUCAGGAGGAACGCCUGUGGUGUAGACAGCUUACUGGACCAUAACUGACGCUGAGGCACGAAAGCGUGGGUAGCAAACAGG